Molecule: ribosomal RNA, 1001 nt
Filed under: Pseudoalteromonas phenolica
Lineage: Bacteria; Pseudomonadati; Pseudomonadota; Gammaproteobacteria; Alteromonadales; Pseudoalteromonadaceae
Description: bacterial SSU rRNA
Rfam family: Bacterial small subunit ribosomal RNA
Source: RNAcentral
GCAAGUCGAGCGGUAACAUUUCUAGCUUGCUAGAAGAUGACGAGCGGCGGACGGGUGAGUAAUGCUUGGGAAUAUGCCUUAGGGUGGGGGACAACAGUUGGAAACGACUGCUAAUACCGCAUAACGUCUACGGACCAAAGGGGGCUUCGGCUCUCGCCCUUAGAUUAGCCCAAGUGGGAUUAGCUAGUUGGUGAGGUAAUGGCUCACCAAGGCGACGAUCCCUAGCUGGUUUGAGAGGAUGAUCAGCCACACUGGAACUGAGACACGGUCCAGACUCCUACGGGAGGCAGCAGUGGGGAAUAUUGCACAAUGGGCGCAAGCCUGAUGCAGCCAUGCCGCGUGUGUGAAGAAGGCCUUAGGGUUGUAAAGCACUUUCAGUAAGGAGGAAAGGUUAGUAGUUAAUACCUGCUAGCUGUGACGUUACUUACAGAAGAAGCACCGGCUAACUCCGUGCCAGCAGCCGCGGUAAUACGGAGGGUGCGAGCGUUAAUCGGAAUUACUGGGCGUAAAGCGUACGCAGGCGGUUUGUUAAGCGAGAUGUGAAAGCCCCGGGCUCAACCUGGGAACUGCAUUUCGAACUGGCAAACUAGAGUAUGAUAGAGGGUGGUAGAAUUUCAGGUGUAGCGGUGAAAUGCGUAGAGAUCUGAAGGAAUACCGAUGGCGAAGGCAGCCACCUGGGUCAAUACUGACGCUCAUGUACGAAAGCGUGGGGAGCAAACGGGAUUAGAUACCCCGGUAGUCCACGCCGUAAACGAUGUCUACUAGGAGCUGGGGUCUUCGGACAACUUUUCCAAAGCUAACGCAUUAAGUAGACCGCCUGGGGAGUACGGCCGCAAGGUUAAAACUCAAAUGAAUUGACGGGGGCCCGCACAAGCGGUGGAGCAUGUGGUUUAAUUCGAUGCAACGCGAAGAACCUUACCUACACUUGACAUACAGAGAACUUACCAGAGAUGGUUUGGUGCCUUCGGGAACUCUGAUACAGGUGCUGCAUGGCUGUCGUC